RNAcentral lists this unclassified non-coding RNA (200 nucleotides) under Hevea brasiliensis (rubber tree). Lineage: Eukaryota; Viridiplantae; Streptophyta; Magnoliopsida; Malpighiales; Euphorbiaceae. The record is from RNAcentral.
GUGCUAUAAACAUUUGUGGGACAAUUUGGUUGCUGAUAAAUUCUCCUUCAAAGAGUUUUAUGAUUUCUUUUCCUUGAAUCCAUUCUACAUCUUGUCUGAAGAAAUCAGGGAGAACACUGCCAAAGCAGGUAUCCCUGCAAAGACCCUUGAAGACAUAGUGAGAUACUUCAGAAAUAUGUGUAGUAUGCUCCUCCCUGCCG